UAUAACGUGGUGUCCCAAGAUCCUUCUUC
RNAcentral lists this non-coding RNA (29 nucleotides) under Rattus norvegicus (Norway rat). Lineage: Eukaryota; Metazoa; Chordata; Mammalia; Rodentia; Muridae. The record is from RNAcentral.